UGGGGAAUUUUGGACAAUGGGCGAAAGCCUGAUCCAGCAAUGCCGCGUGUGUGAAGAAGGCCUUCGGGUUGUAAAGCACUUUUGUCCGGAAAGAAAUCCUUGGCUCUAAUACAGUCGGGGGAUGACGGUACCGGAAGAAUAAGCACCGGCUAACUACGUGCCAGCAGCCGCGGUAAUACGUAGGGUGCAAGCGUUAAUCGGAAUUACUGGGCGUAAAGCGUGCGCAGGCGGUUUUGUAAGACGGAUGUGAAAUCCCCGGGCUUAACCUGGGAACUGCAUUCGUGACUGCAAGGCUAGAGUAUGGCAGAGGGGGGUAGAAUUCCACGUGUAGCAGUGAAAUGCGUAGAGAUGUGGAGGAAUACCGAUGGCGAAGGCAGCCCCCUGGGCCAAAUACUGACGCUCAUGCACGAAAGCGUGGGGAGCAAACAGGAUUAGAUACCCUGGUAGUCCACGCCCUAAACGAUGUCAACUAGUUGUUGGGGAUUCAUUUCCUUAGUAACGUAGCUAACGCGUGAAGUUGACCGCCUGGGGAGUACGGUCGCAAGAUUAAAACUUAAAUGAAUUGAC
This 567-nucleotide ribosomal RNA is filed under the name uncultured bacterium. RNAcentral describes it as "partial 16S ribosomal RNA". It matches the Rfam family "Bacterial small subunit ribosomal RNA", at positions 355 to 914 of the family's 1533-position model. The record is from RNAcentral.